RNAcentral lists this ribosomal RNA (602 nucleotides) under Rahnella sp. J79. RNAcentral's name for it is "bacterial SSU rRNA". It matches the Rfam family "Bacterial small subunit ribosomal RNA", at positions 751 to 1354 of the family's 1533-position model. The record is from RNAcentral. Lineage: Bacteria; Pseudomonadati; Pseudomonadota; Gammaproteobacteria; Enterobacterales; Yersiniaceae.
GUGCGAAAGCGUGGGGAGCAAACAGGAUUAGAUACCUGGUAGUCACGCUGUAAACGAUGUCGACUUGGAGGUUGUGCCCUUGAGGCGUGGCUUCCGGAGCUAACGCGUUAAGUCGACCGCCUGGGGAGUACGGCCGCAAGGUUAAAACUCAAAUGAAUUGACGGGGGCCCGCACAAGCGGUGGAGCAUGUGGUUUAAUUCGAUGCAACGCGAAGAACCUUACCUACUCUUGACAUCCACGGAAUUCGCCAGAGAUGGCUUAGUGCCUUCGGGAACCGUGAGACAGGUGCUGCAUGGCUGUCGUCAGCUCGUGUUGUGAAAUGUUGGGUUAAGUCCCGCAACGAGCGCAACCCUUAUCCUUUGUUGCCAGCACGUAAUGGUGGGAACUCAAAGGAGACUGCCGGUGAUAAACCGGAGGAAGGUGGGGAUGACGUCAAGUCAUCAUGGCCCUUACGAGUAGGGCUACACACGUGCUACAAUGGCAUAUACAAAGAGAAGCGAACUCGCGAGAGCAAGCGGACCUCAUAAAGUAUGUCGUAGUCCGGAUUGGAGUCUGCAACUCGACUCCAUGAAGUCGGAAUCGCUAGUAAUCGUAGAUCAGAA